Molecule: long non-coding RNA, 2157 nt
Organism: Artibeus jamaicensis (Jamaican fruit-eating bat)
Lineage: Eukaryota; Metazoa; Chordata; Mammalia; Chiroptera; Phyllostomidae
Exons: 4
Source: RefSeq, a predicted model, not a curated record
AGAUUUUCCAACUCCUCUUUUGCCACAUACUGAUUAAAAGGGCCUGUGCUCCCUCUGGUUAGAUGAAUGGCUAAUAGAAUGUAUCAUUCUUGAAUCUUCUAUAUUGAAUACACGACCUGCAGCCCAGUGUGGUGUUGGAUAGUAUUCUGAGCCUCCCAAGACAUAAACUGUUAUUCUCAGUAAAUACUCUUUUUAGCCUUGUAACUCAUGAUUAUGUUUUAUUUUUCACUAAGAUGCCCAGCUCCAGCCCUUGAGCGUUGUCUGUUAAGAGGAGGUUCUUUUCUGAACGAGUCUUACUCUCUAACCAGAAGAAUUGUAUUUUUGGUUAAACAUUUUUACUAAAUAGGAGUAACUCUUGAGUAUUGCAUAAGCCUUGUGAACAGAUAAGUUGAAAUAUUUUAAUUGGACAAGUAAGCAUAAACCUUUGAAAGUCUUGAAGGAGAAAUUUUAAAUUUACACCAUGGAAUACAUUUAGUAAGCUGUUUUUUACAAUCUGUAUUUUAUAACAAAAUUGAUCCUGCUGCUUCUUUACUACUUAGGUCACAAGGUUAUGUUUUGAAAGGUCCUUCAACAGAUGCACCCAGAGUACUGUACUGGGUGAUAUCUGCCAGUGGAAAGCUAGUCAUUGCUCUUAUGCAAAUUAGGUGGCGCUUAUACUCACCUUUAUUCUGUUCCACAGAACUGCCUUUGUACCUCUGGAGCUGAGCACAAGCUGUAAUAGAUGCUUUUGAGUUCAGAUCUUUGUGAAAGCAGAGAAAUUCUCUAUUCGAAUACUGAUGUUUAUAUUUCAGUAACUUUAUGACACUAAUUAAGAAUAUGUAGCUUCUGUUUAUUACUUGAAAGGAAGAGACUCUCGUUAUAAACUUGACAGAACUUUUUCACUUUAGUUUCAAGCAUCAAUGGGAUAAUUUCUAUUUUCCCAGCUGUCUAAAGUGACCACACAAAAUGUAGGUUAGUUCCUACCGUUAAACCUAAGGUGUAGAUUAUAGACACAUUUUUGGUUUGCAACACAACACAGCAAUAGGCAUUCCUAUAAAUCAGUUUGAGAAAUUAAUUUUAUUUUGUACAAGGUCUGAUCCCUCUGCACAGUGAACAAAUAUAAAUCUCGGUUGUUUAAAAAAGUAUUGCCAUUUCAUAGUCCCACUUAUGCUAUUACACAAUAAUUGUGUUUUCUUUAUUCAUUUGAAUUAUAUGCAGAUCACUUUGAGUGAAAACUUAGUUUCCAUAAACUAAUUGAACAGAUCUUUUCAAGCUGUCAAUAAAAUGCACAGUGACGCAUUUAGGCUCACCAUGAAUUUACUUGCGACAGUGCUAGACAGAAGUUCCUAAUAGUUGCUCUGUAAGAUUCAAAUGUCAUUUACUAGUAACUCUUAGAUAAUGUGAAGACAACAGUUGUUACCAUUGAUUAAUCAUGCCCUGUGUCUUUCCCUGUUCCUGUGUUGCCUGAUUGAAUUUGCAGUACAUUUCUUUAAAAAUGAGAAUGCUAGAGCUGAAGGGUUUUAGGGUUCCCUUAUCCCUCUUGGCUACUCCUUUUUUUUUUUUUUACAUACAGGGGUAAGGGGUAAAAAGAGCCUCGAGAAGGCAAGUAACAUUCAAAUCUCUUGACCCAGUGCUUUAGCAUUUCCACCCUGCCACCUCUUGCUGAAAUUGGCACAGAAGAUAGUUGGCAAAAAAGAGGUGAAACUUGAAACUUGGGUGGGUGAUGGUGCUUGUUUGCAGCUUGCCAGGCAGCAGUUACUUACAUGCAGGGGGAGGGAAGAAGAUAAACCUGGGAUUGAGAUGGAGUUUCUCCCUGCUGAUCUGACUUCACCAUGAUUCUCCGUCCUUGCUUCACAAAGAUAAUGGAGUACUUGCUGCCUUGAAAUAUGGAGCGGAGUUGACACAAGAGUUUGAUUUCCUGCAUAAGGGAGGAGGGCAGCCCUGGGAAAAGCAGUGCACCUUGGACUCCUUAGAAAGCAGCGAAAGAAAAGGUGUGUUUUCAAGACAGGAUGUCGACAAGGAUGGCACAUCUGUGUACGGAGACCCCCUGUGCACAGGCGACUUCAUUUCUACAUAGCUGUUUUCUGGAAGCUUGCAGUUUCUUCCUGCUCCUCGGCUCCUCUGGUACCUCUACACGCACAGUGGUCUGCAGCAGCUUCGCCUUACCUUCGCGGGAAC